This 454-nucleotide ribosomal RNA is filed under the name Rhinobatonchocotyle pacifica. RNAcentral describes it as "SSU rRNA". It matches the Rfam family "Eukaryotic small subunit ribosomal RNA", at positions 1360 to 1757 of the family's 1831-position model. The record is from RNAcentral. Lineage: Eukaryota; Metazoa; Platyhelminthes; Monogenea; Diclybothriidea; Hexabothriidae.
GUUUCCGUAUCCGGUGUGCGUUGGGUUGGUGGUGGCUGAGCUGCGCCUCGUGUGUGGCUUGGGUGCUGCUGGCUCUUAAGCGUUCACUGCGCGGGUAGAGCUUCUUAGAGAGACAAAUGGCCUUAGCUGAAUGAAAUUGAGCAAUAACAGGUCUGUGAUGCCCUUAGAUGUCCGGGGCCGCACGCGCGCUACAAUGACGGUGCCAGCGAGUAUGAUCUCCUGGCCCGAGAGGGUCAGGUAAACUGAUCCAUAGCCGUCGUGACAGGGAUCGGGGUUUGUAAUUAUCCCCCGUGAACGAGGAAUUCCCAGUAAGUGCAAGUCAUAAGCUUGUGCUGAUUACGUCCCUGCCCUUUGUACGCACCGCCCGUCGCUACUACCGAUUGAAUGGUUUGGCAAGGCUUUCGGAUCGGCGUCAUUGCAGUGGCUUGUCCGCUCGAUAGAUGCUGAGAAGAGA